This 484-nucleotide ribosomal RNA is filed under the name uncultured bacterium. RNAcentral's name for it is "partial 16S ribosomal RNA". It matches the Rfam family "Bacterial small subunit ribosomal RNA", at positions 28 to 523 of the family's 1533-position model. The record is from RNAcentral.
GACGAACGCUGGCGGCGUGCUUAACACAUGCAAGUCGAACGAUGAAGCCGGAGCUUGCUCUGGUGAAUUAGUGGCGAACGGGUGAGUAACACGUGAGUAACCUGCCCUUGACUCUGGGAUAACUGCUAGAAAUGGUAGCUAAUACCGGAUACGACCCUCGGAGGCAUCUCCAGGGGGUGGAAAGAAUUUCGGUCAAGGAUGGACUCGCGGCCUAUCAGCUAGUUGGUGAGGUAACGGCUCACCAAGGCGACGACGGGUAGCCGGCCUGAGAGGGUGACCGGCCACACUGGGACUGAGACACGGCCCAGACUCCUACGGGAGGCAGCAGUGGGGAAUAUUGCACAAUGGGCGCAAGCCUAAUGCAGCAACGCCGCGUGAGGGAUGACGGCCUUCGGGUUGUAAACCUCUUUUAGUAGGGAAGAAGCGAAAGUGACAGUACCUGCAGAAAAAGCACCGGCUAACUACGUGCCAGCAGCCGCAGUAA